UCUUAGGUGGCUCAGCUGGUAAAGAAUCUGCCUGCAAUGCAGGAGACCUGGGUUCGAUCCCUGGGUUGGGAA
Molecule: transfer RNA, 72 nt
Filed under: Ovis aries (sheep)
Lineage: Eukaryota; Metazoa; Chordata; Mammalia; Artiodactyla; Bovidae
Rfam family: tRNA
About the family: Transfer RNA (tRNA) molecules are approximately 80 nucleotides in length.
Source: Rfam by way of RNAcentral